Long non-coding RNA from Dromaius novaehollandiae (emu), 4317 nucleotides. RefSeq lists it as uncharacterized. The transcript has 2 exons. Lineage: Eukaryota; Metazoa; Chordata; Aves; Casuariiformes; Dromaiidae. The record is from RefSeq and is a predicted model, not a curated record.
UGAUACUAUCUUAAACAAAAAUAAAUUUGGUCCAGCAUUUGCCAACUCUUGCUCAGGUGACCUGUUCCUCUGUUUUCCCAGGGAAUACAUAAACUAAAAGGAACCAAGCAGUAAAAACACCUGAAGCAGUCCAACAGCUAUUCCAGAGACUUAACAAGAGUAAAUCUGCAAGACAAAGCUAGCCAUAAUGGAAACAGGUUUUGGAUGGGUUAGAGACAAGUGCAAUAGAAAUGAGCUUGUAAAGAUUUAGAAUGGUGACACAAGGAAUGGAAGUCUUCCUGUUAUAAAUCCUAAUCUUCCAGUGUUCAUUAUGCAGAAAACUAUAUUGAUGUGCCUCAAGAUGGGAGAGGUAAGAUCAGACUCCAAGGAGCAGCUUUCAAGAAAACUAACUAAAUGACAGAGCAGCAAAAAAGGUGGAUCAGCAGGAGAGAGAGAGAAAGUCUACAGGAUGGAGGUUGAUCAAGUCACCUAAAGAGAAUCACCAUUCAGACAACUUCUGUAGGCAAACGACGUAGAGUUUCCAGAAGGAAGUAACCUGUAAGCAAUAUUUUAAUUCUAGAUCGAUAAUACUAUCUCUGAAAGGAAGCAUCAUAUCUGAGGAAAUGCUCAGCAGAAAGAAAAUCAAGUUGCUCUGGCAAAUCCAUGCAAAGGUGGAAAAAGGUCACCAGAGAAACCUUUGAUAGAUAACUUUUCUUUGCCUCCCCAUCCAGCUAUUGCCAUUUGAGCCUAAUCCAAGUGUCUGAAUAGUGAAUGUGAGUUUUGCCAAAGCUCUCUGGUGGAUACGAUGCCACAACAGGGCAGAUGCUGCCAAUCCCAGUCACUGGUGCCCAUGCUGUCACACGUUACCAAAUAAGUGAAGCCCUUUCAUCCCAUCAGAUUGCAGGGUAGCAAGUGUUUCAACCUUACCACGCAUUUUAAGGCCACCGAUAAUAUUUCUGCUAAGACACCAAGCAUCUGAGCGCAUUGACUGGCUCCAGCUUCACAGGUCCACCUGAAAGGGGGAACUUUAUUCAGGAGCAGAAUAGGUGCCCUGCUCCACCCCUCAUACCGCUUGAAGCGGAAAGAAAAUUAGAAGGAAAACAACAAACUGCACUGCAAAAGCAAUAACACCAUUGUCCCUCUGGUUUACACGGCAAUAAUCCAAUUCCCACAGCCACUGACUGGCUUCAGAGUUCACCCCUCACAAAUCGAAGGGGUCCUUUGUAAGCCAGAGCUGCAAUGAUGCUCCUGCAGAAGGGUAGAGAGUGCUCAGUCACCAAGUUACAGUAGCUUGACUUAACUUGCCACAGGACAGGUUUAUUUUGAACUCAUACACUAUAAUUUACAGGAACAACCCCUGUGCAGUUCAAUCUUACAUGAAGAACCUGGCAGUGACAACCAAAAAGAGAAGUUAAUCUGGAAAUCACAAUACGAAGCCAUGCUAAUGCCAAAUUAUUUCUUUAUCCCUUGUAUUUUGUCCUACAAAUCUGAAUAAUUUUAUAAUGACCAUAUAUUUUAUUGUAAAACCAAUUUCAGGAACACCUUGUCUGUGAAGUAGCAUUAAGUUUUCCUUUUAUACCUCUUUGAUUUGUGCACAUUUUAGUCUUCUCCUGAACUGCUAAGGGGUAGAUUAUUAACUGAGUGAUUUGAGCUAAUUCAUGGCUCCCGUAGUGCAUGGUGGUACCUGACUAAACCCAUCCAGGGAAAAAUAGUGCUGGGGGAGCCAACGAGGUUGGAGACCACAGAGGGGGAGGCCAGUCGUAUUAGCCUAGAGCUGCUCAGUCUUCAAAGAAGGCCCAGUCUGAGUAGGGUAAGAGCAUGCUUAUGCCCCUUUUCUUUGCAAACCAUCCAGUGAAUAAAAGCAGAGUCUCACUGAGGGAGGAGGGGCAGGCAACAGCUAGUACAUGUCCAGAUGUCACCGAUAAACGUGCAACCAUGCAGGCAUUAGGCUCCAUCUUAUAAGCGUAAGGCCUGGCCCGUUCUCACUCUUCACCGAAGCUCCUGCAUACACGUCUCUGCACGCAGCUCGGCUUGCUGUGGAGCCAGGACAGAGCUGCCACGGUGCAGCUGGCGUGUUUAUGUGGUGAGAAAUGUAGCACUUCAAAUAAAAGGGAGCCAGUGGUUUUUUUAAAACCUUGAUUCACUUUAAACCUAAGAGAUUUUAGUUUUCUAAGAAGAACAUUUCAUUAGAGCAUUGCAGAAGCAGUCAAAGCACUUUAGUUGGAUUUGGGAACAAGAAGGAUCUCCGGCAAAGAAACGCUGUAAAGAUCUGGCUCAGACGUGCGCCCUGCCAGGGGGUCACAGCUGCAGCCAGGACAGGGCCUGGCUCCAGGCAGUGGAGGCCGACCGAGUGAGGGUCUAAGCUGGUGCUAUUAGUGCCAGCUUGCAAGAAGAGCAAAGGAAACCACGUAGCUGCAAACCAUCUCGUCCCACGCCUCUGCAGGCAUCAUGUCUUCCCCCCGCUCCCACACUGGCUCUGAGAUCUCUCACCCCUGCAGACACCCACCAAAGCACAUAUCCACAGCUACCAGAGUCUUCUCACACCGGCACUUUGCAGUACCCAUUUGCUCCUUUUACCUGCUCUCAGCACCUGCUUUUGUUGUGAGGUUACGACCACCACAGAGAUCUUUGUAAAAAGCUUAUGUUCAUGAAGGAAUUUGUAUUAGAUUCUGGUUUGUGUGACUUACUGUAUUUUGUAAGGGUUUUUUUCCCUUUGGGAAUUGUGCGUUAUUAAUGAGCAGUUUUAUGCUUUACUUCUAGUAUGUGUAUACCUUGUAAUUGAUGUGCAUUUUUUUUUGAAUCUCUGCAGAGCCAGUUAACAUAAGGUAGAUACUCUCUGGCUGAAAUUCUCAUUUUGCCUACCAACUAAUUUUUGGCUACACCCAUAUCAUAGCUGAUGAACAACUUUUCAUCAAUUAUAUUGCUAUAGUCACUUGUUAGCCUAUCUACUUUAGCAGAAUAUAAGAUCCCAAAUAAGACUAAUACUAACUGGGCCUUAAGCUAAAGGGAAAUAGUGCACCAUGUAUUGUUUCCCUACCACCAUCACCAUCGGCCCCUCUCCCACAUUGUUUGAGACACUGUAGAAGAGCGCUGGCAAGACAAACAACAACCUGAACAUCUCAGCCAUCUCUAAAGCGGUGCUCUGCGAUCCCUGUACAUUCGACUCAUGGAAAAUAAUUGUGCCAACCCAGAUAAACCGCACUGAAUUCUUCAACUAAUUUUGCAGCUAGAGGCUGGGUCGAGCACAAUCUCUCCUUAAAAAAAAAGAUUUUUUGAACUAAAAUAAAUAUACUUUCUCUAUGUCCAUCCUAAUGUAAUUGGAAAAAAAUUGGAUAUAAAAUUACCCUUUACCGAAGUGUAUAAUGAUAUAGCAAAGGCAACAGCCCAUUUCAGUGGCUCUUACAAUACUCAUGCUCCAGCAAGCCUCUUUCCUUGUCCAACACGUUUUCUCUCUUAUAUUUUACUAGGAACUGAGUGUCCAACUUCCUAAUGAUUGCUGUGUAUAACAUAGGACAUAAAAAAUAUGUUAUAAAGCUUGUGCAGGAGUCGGUGUUGUAAUUAACCAUCAUUUGUGCCUGGUAUCGAUCUUACAAACAAAGUGAAAACAAUCUGGCCUCUUAAUGUAUACUUCAGCAUAUUGUAGCAGCUAUUUUAGAUAACUGUUUUUGAUAGUUUUAUUAUGGCUGUAAUUUCUGUAUGAGGACUGUCCACAUGAAGAAGUUAUGAAGUAACAUGUCAUAGUGAUUUUUAAAGUCAGUUCUAUUUAACCACCAGUAACAGUCUCUGAAAAGUAGGGUAACAAAAACAAAAACCCACCCACCCACCAGAAAGAAAUAUGUUUUCCAGCCUUGGAAACUCUCUGGUGCAAGACAGGCAUUUCUUCUAGUUCUCCUCUUACAUAAAUGGUAAAUUACUAGGAAUAUAAGAUAUACGGUACAAUAGUCUAUUUUAAUAGUCUGCAGUCAAAUUUUAGGCUAAUUAAGCUAACUAGAAAUUCUAGGGUUACAGUAGUUACUCACUCUUUAUUGAUACAUUGACAAUAACACUGUUUACAUAACACUCGAUGUUUGAAUUCAAUACGUGCCAGUGUCCAGUGAUUUGCUAAUCUAGUUUUUUGAUCUAAUCCUGUCCUAUUUUUUGCAGUAUACUCUAACUUCAUAUUAUGAAUCAUGUUGUCUUUCUACAGUGAUUGCCAGGUAAACCAAAAAUGUGUUUUACACUGCUAUUGCACUGCUCUUGUCUUUAUAUACAGUAGUUUUUAUAAAAAUGUCCUUAGGUUUUAAUAAAUGAGUGUAAUGUAAACUGAUCUCUAUAAUAAAACUUGCUUUAAUGUUUCAA